This 567-nucleotide ribosomal RNA is filed under the name Bacillus sp. AGH03. RNAcentral's name for it is "bacterial SSU rRNA". It matches the Rfam family "Bacterial small subunit ribosomal RNA", at positions 389 to 948 of the family's 1533-position model. Lineage: Bacteria; Bacillati; Bacillota; Bacilli; Caryophanales; Bacillaceae. The record is from RNAcentral.
GAGCAACGCCGCGUGAGUGAUGAAGGUUUUCGGAUCGUAAAGCUCUGUUGUUAGGGAAGAACAAGUACCGUUCGAAUAGGGCGGUACCUUGACGGACCUAACCAGAAAGCCACGGCUAACUACGUGCCAGCAGCCGCGGUAAUACGUAGGUGGCAAGCGUUGUCCGGAAUUAUUGGGCGUUUUCCCCUCGCAGGCGGUUCCUUAUGACUGAUGUGAAAGCCCCCGGCUCAACCGGGGAGGGUCAUUGGAAACUGGGGAACUUGAGUGCAGAAGAGGAGAGUGGAAUUCCACGGAAACGGAGGAUUUGCGUAGAGAUGUGGAGGAACACCAGUGGCGAAGGCGACUCUCUGGUCUGUAACUGACGCUGAGGAGCGAAAGCGUGGGGAGCGAACAGGAUUAGAAUGGGAGGUAGUCACGCCGUAAACGAUGAGUGCUAAGUGUUAGGGGGUUUCCGCCCCUUAGUGCUGCAGCUAACGCAUUAAGCACUCCGCCUGGGGAGUACGGUCGCAAGACUGAAACUCAAAGGAAUUGACGGGGGCCCGCACAAGCGGUGGAGCAUGUGGUUUA